CUGAACCAGCCAAGUAGCGUGAAGGAUGAAGGCUCUAUGGGUCGUAAACUUCUUUUAUAUAAGAAUAAAGUGCAGUAUGUAUACUGUUUUGUAUGUAUUAUAUGAAUAAGGAGCGGCAAACUCCGUGCCAGCAGCCGCGGUAAUACGGAGGAUCCGAGCGUUAUCCGGAUUUAUUGGGUUUAAAGGGAGCGUAGGUGGACUGGUAAGUCAGUUGUGAAAGUUUGCGG
This 227-nucleotide ribosomal RNA is filed under the name uncultured bacterium. Its description in RNAcentral is "partial 16S ribosomal RNA". It matches the Rfam family "Bacterial small subunit ribosomal RNA", at positions 383 to 607 of the family's 1533-position model. The record is from RNAcentral.